This 178-nucleotide non-coding RNA is filed under the name Vibrio sinaloensis. RNAcentral describes it as "Lysine sequence". It matches the Rfam family "Lysine riboswitch aptamer". From Rfam's summary of the family: Riboswitches are metabolite binding domains within certain messenger RNAs that serve as precision sensors for their corresponding targets. RNAcentral also lists the same sequence under 1 other name. The record is from RNAcentral. Lineage: Bacteria; Pseudomonadati; Pseudomonadota; Gammaproteobacteria; Vibrionales; Vibrionaceae.
UGUUGCAGAAGAGGAGCACUGCCCAGGUAGAUGUGUCGUGGAACCACAAUUCCGAGACAACACAUUGAGGGGGAGCAGUGCCGAGGUAAACCAAAAGUGUGGUUUUGGUUUGUCGGUUGACUUGGGUUGAGUCCCAUCAACUGUCAUCAGCACAGCCUGAUGAUGAGCUUCUGAGGUC